This is a non-coding RNA of Cinara cedri, 556 nucleotides long. The record is from the annotation of a GenBank genome assembly. NCBI's taxonomy places the organism in Eukaryota, Metazoa, Arthropoda, Insecta, Hemiptera, Aphididae.
CUAGAAUCAGUUUUAUACUGUUCUUGAGAAAACAUUAUUUUAAACACUAUUAACACAAUAAAUGUAUGUGAGUUUAUAGAAGAGUGUGGGUCGGCUCUUAUUAAGAUUAAAAAACUCAUUUAGAAAAAAUUUUAUUUUUAUGAUAAAUAUUAGAAAAGUCAUAUAUUUGUCUAGAUUUGGAUAAGAAAUUAAUAGUUUUAUUGUUAAGAAUAAAAUUUUACAUUUGGGAGCCAAACAACUUGAUUGUGAAAAUUAAUAAAUAUUAUUGUAAAAGUUAUACAUAGCAUUGAUAUAGAUUCAAAUUUAAAAGACAAUUCACUAUUGUACCAUUAUGAAACAAUAUUUAAGCAAGCAUUAAAUACAAAAUUAACUUUACUCUUAGGAAUAUAAUAAUAAAAUAUAUUUUACUUUUAAGUAACCAAUAAUUAGAUUACAAAAGUAAUUAUUGUAAUAUUGACAUAUAUUUGUUAUGGGAAGAACAGUAUUCUAAGACACACUAUUCCUUAAGUUUUGUAACUUGGAUUUUAGGGCAAUUUUUUAAUUAAUUUUUUUUUUU